GAUGAACGCUGGCGGCGUGCUUAACACAUGCAAGUCGAACGGGAAACCUUUUAUUGAAGCUUCGGCAGAUUUAGCUGGUUUCUAGUGGCGGACGGGUGAGUAACGCGUGGGUAACCUGCCUUAUACAGGGGGAUAACAGUCAGAAAUGGCUGCUAAUACCGCAUAAGCGCACAGAGCUGCAUGGCUCAGUGUGAAAAACUCCGGUGGUAUAAGAUGGACCCGCGUUGGAUUAGCUGGUUGGUGGGGUAACGGCCCACCAAGGCGACGAUCCAUAGCCGGCCUGAGAGGGUGAACGGCCACAUUGGGACUGAGACACGGCCCAGACUCCUACGGGAGGCAGCAGUGGGGAAUAUUGCACAAUGGGGUAAACCCUGAUGCAGCGACGCCGCGUGAAGGAAGAAGUAUCUCGGUAUGUAAACUUCUAUCAGCAGAGAAGAUAAUGACGGUACCUGACGAAGAAGCCCCGGCUAACUACGUG
This 478-nucleotide ribosomal RNA is filed under the name uncultured bacterium. RNAcentral describes it as "partial 16S ribosomal RNA". It matches the Rfam family "Bacterial small subunit ribosomal RNA", at positions 28 to 507 of the family's 1533-position model. The record is from RNAcentral.